AAGGAAUAAAGUCUUGAUGUGUCUCAUAUCAGUUCUAUAGGGAGGUUUUGGGUGUCAUGUAUAUAGGUUUGCAAGCCUCUCCUUAUGAAUUAACUUUUGAGGUAGAGUUAAACGAGUUCAUAUCAAGUCUUAGCACUGUUUGUUUUGUGGUGAAUAUUUUAUACCACUUGUUUUCUACAGCCUUUUAUGUUGGUAACUGUCAAUAAUGAAAUUAUCCAAGAAAUUUCAUGAUUUAUAUCACAUGCUUCCCUUGAGAAUACAAACUAACCUGUACUGUUACAAACUGCUUGUUGUUUGCUAUAUUCUUUCAUAGGUUGAGAUG
RNAcentral lists this unclassified non-coding RNA (322 nucleotides) under Hevea brasiliensis (rubber tree). Lineage: Eukaryota; Viridiplantae; Streptophyta; Magnoliopsida; Malpighiales; Euphorbiaceae. The record is from RNAcentral.